ACAUCUCAGCAUACGGAUAGGAGAAGAAGAAGCAUCUACUCGACCAAUUGAUCAGAUCGCGAAUGAAACAUCUUAGCUUGUGGUUUUGCCAGAUCGCGAACGAAACCUUCGAUUCCUCCUUGUUUAGUAUGUUAUGUGUUGAUGGCGAAGGAAGGAGUUAGAUAUGGUUGUCGUAGGUGAGCUCCGAUGAAGUCGAAGUGAUGU
This 204-nucleotide small RNA is filed under the name Arabidopsis thaliana (thale cress). RNAcentral describes it as "ATSL201930". The record is from RNAcentral. Lineage: Eukaryota; Viridiplantae; Streptophyta; Magnoliopsida; Brassicales; Brassicaceae.